CCGGAGUGCGUCAGGAACGCCCCCACCGCCUCGUGCCUGAGGACCUCCGCCUGCGGGCACCACGUCGUGAGCAUGGCGCGGCCGUGAACCGAUGCCAGGAACUCCGGCGGCAUCACGGCCGUCUCUCCCCUAACGAGGUCCGGCCGGAUGUUCCAUAUGAACGCGUAGCCGCUGUCGGCCAGCCCCCACCCGAACUCUAGGAGCUGCUCGUUCGUCAUCACAGCGACGCUUCCGUAG
Molecule: ribosomal RNA, 237 nt
Filed under: Triticum aestivum (bread wheat)
Lineage: Eukaryota; Viridiplantae; Streptophyta; Magnoliopsida; Poales; Poaceae
Description: partial small subunit ribosomal RNA
Source: RNAcentral